Molecule: ribosomal RNA, 276 nt
Filed under: uncultured prokaryote
Description: partial 16S ribosomal RNA
Rfam family: Bacterial small subunit ribosomal RNA
Source: RNAcentral
CACGGGGUUGCGAGCGUUGUCCGGAAUUACUAGGCGUAAAGGGCAGGCAGGCGGAUCCAUAAGUUUAUCGUUUAAGGCGUCGGCUUAACCGGCGUAGGGCGGUAGAUACUGUGGAUCUGGAAUGCGGUUGGGGAAGACAGAAUUCCUGGCGUAGCGGUGGAAUGCGCAGAGAUCAGGAGGAAUACCAAAGGCGAAGGCAGUCUUCCAAGCCGUUAUUGACGCUCAACUGCGAAGGUGUGGGUAUCAAACAGGAUUAGAUACCCUGGUAGUCCCUGA